ACUCCUACGGGAGGCAGCAGUGGGGAAUAUUGCACAAUGGGCGCAAGCCUGAUGCAGCCAUGCCGCGUGUGUGAAGAAGGCCUUCGGGUUGUAAAGCACUUUCAGUCGUGAGGAAGGUAGUGUAGUUAAUAGCUGCAGUAUUUGUACGUUAGCGACAGAAGAAGCACCGGCUAACUCCGUGCCAGCAGCCGCGGUAAUACGGAGGGUGCGAGCGUUAAUCGGAAUUACUGGGCGUAAAGCGCAUGCAGGUGGUUGUUAAGUCAGAUGUGAAAGCCCGGGGCUCAACCUCGGAAUAGCAUUUGAAACUGGCAGACUAGAGUACUGUAGAGGGGGUAGGAAUUUCAGGUGUAGCGGUGAAAUGCGUAGAGAUCUGAAGGAAUACCGGUGGCGAAGCGGCCCCUGGACAGAUACUGACACUCAGAUGCGAAAGCGUGGGAGCAAACAGGAUUAGAUA
This 454-nucleotide ribosomal RNA is filed under the name uncultured bacterium. RNAcentral's name for it is "bacterial SSU rRNA". It matches the Rfam family "Bacterial small subunit ribosomal RNA", at positions 335 to 784 of the family's 1533-position model. The record is from RNAcentral.